This 253-nucleotide ribosomal RNA is filed under the name uncultured bacterium. RNAcentral describes it as "partial 16S ribosomal RNA". It matches the Rfam family "Bacterial small subunit ribosomal RNA", at positions 524 to 776 of the family's 1533-position model. The record is from RNAcentral.
UACGUAGGCAGCAAGCGUUGUUCGGAGUUACUGGGCGUAAGGGUGUGUAGGCGGUUCUUUUAAGUUUGCUGUGAAAUCUCCCGGCUUAACCGGGAGGGUGCGGUGAAUACUGAGGGACUAGAGUACGGGAGAGGAAAGUGGAAUUCCUGGUGUAGCGGUGAAAUGCGUAGAUAUCAGGAGGAACACCGGUGGUGUAGACGGCUUUCUGGACCGUAACUGACGCUGAGACACGAAAGCGUGGGUAGCAAACAGG